GGGGGGGGCAAGCGUUGUUCGGAAUUACUGGGCGUAAAGGGCUCGUAGGUGGCCAACUAAGUCAGACGUGAAAUCCCUCGGCUUAACCGGGGAACUGCGUCUGAUACUGGAUGGCUUGAGUUUGGGAGAGGGAUGCGGAAUUCCAGGUGUAGCGGUGAAAUGCGUAGAUAUUUGGAGGAACACCGGUGGCGAAGGCGGCAUCUUGGACCAACACUGACACUGAGGAGCGAAAGCCAGGGGAGCAAACGGGAUUAGAUACCCCGGUAGUCCUGGCCCUAAACGAUGAAUGCUUGGUGUGGCGGGUAUCGAUCCCUGCCGUGCCGAAGCUAACGCAUUAAGCAUUCCGCCUGGGGAGUACGGUCGCAAGGCUG
This 371-nucleotide ribosomal RNA is filed under the name uncultured bacterium. RNAcentral's name for it is "bacterial SSU rRNA". It matches the Rfam family "Bacterial small subunit ribosomal RNA", at positions 527 to 896 of the family's 1533-position model. The record is from RNAcentral.